RNAcentral lists this ribosomal RNA (431 nucleotides) under uncultured bacterium. Its description in RNAcentral is "partial 16S ribosomal RNA". It matches the Rfam family "Bacterial small subunit ribosomal RNA", at positions 29 to 507 of the family's 1533-position model. The record is from RNAcentral.
AACGAACGCUGGCGGCAGGCUUAACACAUGCAAGUCGAGCGCCCCGCAAGGGGAUCGGCAGGGGGGUGAGUAACGCGUGGGGAGUUACCUCUUGGUUCGUAACAACUCGGGGAAACUGGAGCCAAGAAAGGGGAAGCAAUAACGGGGAAAGAUUUAAGGCGAAAAGGUGGGCCCGUGGCUGAUUAGGUAGUUGGAGAGGUAACGGUUCACCAAGGCGACGAUCAGUAGCUGGUCUGAGAGGAUGAUCCGCCACACUGUGACUGAGACACGGCCCGGACUCCUACGGGAGGCAGCAGUGGGGAAUCUUGGACAAUGGGGGGAAGCAUGAUGCAGCCAUGAUGGGUGAGUGCUGAAGGCCUUAGGGUUGUAAAGCACUUUUGUCCGGGAAGAUAAUGACGGUACCGGAAGAAUAAGCACCGGCUAACUUCGUG